Long non-coding RNA from Cavia porcellus (domestic guinea pig), 4617 nucleotides. RefSeq lists it as uncharacterized. NCBI's taxonomy places the organism in Eukaryota, Metazoa, Chordata, Mammalia, Rodentia, Caviidae. The record is from RefSeq and is a predicted model, not a curated record. The transcript has 4 exons.
AGUGCAGACAGGGGGCAGCACCAACAGAAACCAUUCUUGAGGCUUUCUGGAGAAUGGAAGUCCCAGAUGGAUGUGUCAGCAGACUGCGUUCCCCAAAGCCUCUGUCUGGCGAUUACAUCACUUUAUACCACACACACUGGGCUCCAGUGUCUCUAGUCAUGGGAUUCAAGCUCCUCAUUAGCAUACCCUCACACUCUUAGGUUUGCCGGGAGUAAGCACUUCAACAUAAUGAAUUGUAUGGGGGCACAGUUUAAACCAUAAAGCUCUUUUAGAGAACACCUGCCACAUAGAAGUCUGAUUGCCGGGUGGAGGAGUUUCCCUGGUGGAUGAGAAAUUAGAAAAAGGGAAGAAAAAGCCCUGCUCCCCACCUGCUGUUCCAGCCACCCCAGCCUAAGCAGCACAUGAAGAAUGAAGCAAGUGGUUUGUUAACAUAGCAAAAGACAGCACAGUACUACCAAAAAAAGAAGAAGCAGCAGCAGCAUAAUUUCCAACUUUUGGUGCUAUCUCCUGAGAUUUGGCAGAGCAGGACAGCUGAAGAAUAGCCCAGCUGAGCUGAGAACCGUGCUUCUGGGAGCCUCUCACAUAAGCAGCUUUUACCCUGACUAAACUUCUCCAUUCAGCACGGUUGCUUGGGAGGAAUUAUCUAUCUCUGCAACAGUCCACUGGUGUGAAAUCCAGCAGUUCACUGGUGUAAGGUUAAAUGCUGCCUUCUUGUAUCCUUUUGGUUUGCUUUGAUUUGGGAAAUUUUCCAAACAAAAUGAGGGGAGGGAUGAAAAGCUCAUUUAUAGGAGUUAUGCCUGUCUGCAACUGUGGGCAUUAAGAGUGCAGCCUGUUUCCUGAGAUGUGUUGUAUGUCUUAUGCACUCUGUGGAGAAUGCUUGCCAUCAGCUGAGUGUCCAGCGGUGACAGGAAAAUGUUCUCAGGUGGCACAGUUCAAGUGGGCUGUGUGCUCUAUUCAGUGGUCCACCGAGUGCUCUGCCACUCGUUCUGCACAGUACUCAGGCCCAGGGGAAGAGCAGGCCUGGGAGCCACCAGCUACUCCUUCAAGUUGUGCAGGGAGAGGCUGAAACUGGAAAUGGAUUACACUUUGGGGGCAAGGCAAGCCUCUUCCGAGAACACCAAGCCAAGAGGAAAUCCAAGCAAUGGCUGCUAGACAAAGGGGUGUCAUGGGACAUUAACAGGUCAAACGUAUAAAUAAGUGCACUGUGGUGGUGGAUCAGUUCUUUUCUCCCAUCCAGAGAGAGGGCUCCAUCUGACUGUCUCUUACCUGUAUUUCACCAUCCUCCACCCAACCCCAGAACUUUGAGAGCUGUGCUAGACACAAGGAAGCAGUGCCCAGGACUAACAUUUUCCCAAAUGAGGAAUUUUAACAUUUUCAUCUUUUAAUCAGAGGGACUUAAAAUGGGAAAACCCAAAACUUGCAUUUGAAAUUGAUCAACUAAGUAUUAAAGAAAUUAAAUUUCUAAAUAGUGUGUUUGUUUAAAAGUUUGUAGCUUUUAUACUCAUGUAGUUUGUAAAACUUAAAACUACAGUAAGACUUUAGGAAUUGCCCAUAAAAUUUCAUGUGCUUCCCAUGGUAUAAUUAACGAAAAGUUCAUUGUGCAUACAUAAAUUGAGUACUGUCUAGACAUACAUUUGAACCAAUACUUAUUUAUGUUGCUGUUCUGGGCUAUUUAAUGGUGACAAUUUCCGUGUGAAGGCCAUGUCACAUAAGGAAAUGCAAAGUAAGUGUCUUGGGUACUUUUCUCUCAUUGCUGGGACAAAAUAUCCAACACCCAAAACGAAGGAAGGAGAGGUUUGUUUAGUUUACUGUUUGUGGAGGUUUCAGCCCAUAAUCAGCUGGCUCCAAGGCUGGAUGGCAUGGCACCAGGGCAACACUUCCCGGCAGCAGCCAACAAAAGCAGCCAGAGCAACAGAGGAGGGGAGGAAGCCACUUUUCCUCCCCUAUAGUGUGAGCAGGCUAUGCCCCUUGUAUCAUUUGCAAGUCUUCCUCUGUACCGACUGAGGAUGUCACAAAGUAAUGACCCUGGCCAACUGCUGAGUCGCUUCAUUAAAUUUCUGACUAUCUCAAAUUGACACAAUGAACAGCAUCCUAGAGUGAUAAUGGCUUGUCCUGUACAUCCCAGGAUGUAGGACUACUAAGUCACUUGCUUAAGCUUCUGGACUUUUCAAGUUGAUGCGGUGUAUCAACCGUAACAGUAAGACAUUGGAUCAGGGCAGAGAAGCCAUGGUUGGAAAGAGGGGCAAUUCUGGGAUCACCAUAUGCCGGUUCGGGUACAUAUUUGUGUCAUCUGUUUAGAAAUUGAGUUUCAUUUGGGUCAUGGGGCUGCAGCUUGCUGACAUGUUGUAAGCACAUAUUCCAUGUUGGGGUGGUGACCAAUGAAUGUGUAGGGAUUGACCCUGUGGGCCUAGCGGCCAGGGAUGAGAGAACUCUUACCCUUUCUAUACCCAGUCACUGUGCCCCAAGCCUAGUAUCCCCACAGAUCCCAGUGGUGGUGUCCCUGUGCGCUGAAGGGAAUGGCCAUAGGCCUCCUCUGUGUCUGGGUGGGUAUCAUGUAGGUAACUACAAGAAAACAACUUUCAGGAUACCCUUACAGUCCAAGAUGGGCUGGUCCCUGGGUUGCCAGUCUCCACAGCAUUGGCCAUUUCUUGCUGAAUGACACUGUUGUCAGACAGUUCCUUUAUUUAUGGCUCACUAAUUAAGCAUAUGCCAAAUCCUUGAGCAAAGAAUUGAAGGAGACAAGCCAAAACAGGGCCGAAGUUUGUUUGAAAAUUGAGAGGUGAAAGGGUGAGAGAGAAACUGGUUCUGCAGUUGGGCUAAACAAGAGGAGAGAGAAAAAAUAAAAGCACACCCUAAUCUACAAGACACACAUUGGGCUACUGAGAAGAGUAAGAAUAACAGGCCCUGCUUGGGUUUAUUCAAAGUCAACAUAAUUGAAGAUAUGGGUGACUGCAUAUAUGUUUAAGUGUAGAGGAUUGAUAACCAUAUUUCUAAGUUUUUGUUGGAUAGUUGAACAGAACUGGUUGCAGUCUCACUGUUUGAAUCCCCACUUUAUAUGCUCCACUUUAGUAUCUUGUAAGAAGACAAUCUGUAAUCAUCAACUAGUGAUUUCUUACUGUUUAUUUUUUCUUUGAAAUUAUGUAUUAUUUCUACCCGUUUUCUGUUUUUUUUAAGUCUUUCUGUAAAUUCAGUUUUAAAAAGAAGACACUACCGUACCCAGUGCUGAUCAUGGAGUGUCAUGAUGUGAAACCCAGCAAUACUAUUAUUCUUUGUUCAGAAUGAUUUUAAACCGCUUUAGUUUGUUUAAUCUAAACAUAAAGAUAUGGAUAACUGCAUGUAUGUUUAAAUGUAUAGGAUUGACAAUCAUGUUACUUAGUUUUUGUUGGACAGUUGAUUAGAACUUUUUACAGUCUCUCUGUUUGAAUUCCCACUUUACAUGUUCCAUUUUUGUACCUUGGAAACUAUUUGUAAAACAACAUCAACUAGUGAUUUCUUACUGUUUUUUUUUUUCUCUGAACGUAUGUACUAUUUCUACUUAUUUUCUGUUUUGUUUAAUCUUUCUUUAAAUAAAAAUUAAAAAAAAAAGAAUAGUAGGCCCUGGGUGGCAUCCCUUUUAUGUCAUCUACAUCUCUUGGGAGCCCCCAAAUUUUGUAUGUGGGAUCCAGGGAGUUAUUUGAUGCUGUCCUGGGAUCUUCUAAGUGACUGGUCCUCAGUAUUUCUUAACCAGAUUUGGCACAUUUUAAUCCCCUCUCAGUACCAGCAGCAGUGUGGGACAGGUGGACAUGUGUGCUGCCCCCAGACCAGGACCUCUGAUGGUGUCACUGAGCACGUUUCUGUUCUUGUGACUUUGCAGAAAGUAGGUGCCUGCUGCCCUGCUUGCCUGUGCUGCCUGGCCUGGCUCUCCCUCUCCACCUCUGCUCCAUCCUUCCAGGGCUGCACCCUGUAUACACUUUGCAGUGGAGCUUCCAGGUCAGAAUCUAAGCUUAAAAUCCCGAAGGGGAAAGCAUCAGAAUCUGAACCUUUGUCUCUUUCUUUCUUUCUUCUUUUUUUACCACAGAAAUGAAGAGGAAUUUCUAGUUAUUGCUCCUUCAUGGCUUGGUUGUUUCUCCCCUUGGGGGAGAUUCCCAGAGGCUGGUCCAUGCGUCAUGACAGUGACAUCGGUCCUUCCUGGUGGGCUACUCCCUUCUGGGUCCUGAGCAGAGUGCUGCUUCUGCCUGGCCUCAGAACUGAUGAAUUCGGGGAGGGCCCAUCACUGGUCAUCAGCCGGUGAGGAGUCAUGGUGCAGGAGUCACCUGACUAGGACCAUGGAACUAGUGUAGGACAGAGCUCUAAUUUGAACUUAGACUUUUCAGUCCUGCUUUUAUCUUACAUGUUCAGAAAUUUCACACCUGUCAGUUUUGUUUUUUAGCCAAAUUUUUGCAAACUGGGUAUUCUCAUUAGGCAUAUGACACAAAAUUGUACUCUUUUCCUGAAGUUACCAACAAGAAUAAAUGUUUUUUCUUAUGUUUACAACUUAGAUUAACUUUUUAAGGGAAAAAAUGUUUUUGCCUCUUUGUGUAUUACACUUUUAGUGUGUUCUCAAAACACAAUAAAGAAUGUCUGGGAAAUAGAAACUAA